This 359-nucleotide unclassified non-coding RNA is filed under the name soil metagenome. RNAcentral describes it as "partial contains 5.8S ribosomal RNA, internal transcribed spacer 2, and large subunit ribosomal RNA". The stretch from base 1 to 120 matches the Rfam family "5.8S ribosomal RNA", at positions 35 to 154 of the family's 154-position model. The record is from RNAcentral.
GAUGAAGAACGUAGCGAAAUGCGAUAAGUAAUGUGAAUUGCAGAAUUCAGUGAAUCAUCGAAUCUUUGAACGCACAUUGCGCCCGUCAGUAUUCUGGCGGGCAUGCCUGUUCGAGCGUCAUUACGCCCCUCAAGUCCCCUGUGGACUUGGUGUUGGGGAUCGGCGAGGCUGGUUUUCCAGCACAGCCGUCCCUUAAAUUAAUUGGCGGUCUCGCCGUGGCCCUCCUCUGCGCAGUAGUAAAACACUCGCAACAGGAGCCCGGCGCGGUCCACUGCCGUAAAACCCCCCCAACUUUUUAUAGUUGACCUCGAAUCAGGUAGGACUACCCGCUGAACUUAAGCAUAUCAAUAAGCGGAGGA